This 1136-nucleotide long non-coding RNA is filed under the name Anas platyrhynchos platyrhynchos (common mallard). Its description in RNAcentral is "lncRNA (ENSAPLG00000021935.1)". Lineage: Eukaryota; Metazoa; Chordata; Aves; Anseriformes; Anatidae. The record is from RNAcentral.
CAAAAAUAAAAUGUCUGUGUUGGCAUCAGCCUCUGAGCCACGUGUUUAUCAGGUGGGCUUUCCGUAUCCUCUCUGUACCCCUCCCUGCCACCGUAGGGAUGGACGAAAACACCACCUGUACCACCGCUCCAUCCACUACUCGUCCCAGUCCCCUAAAGUCUCGUUUGAUAGCCUUCAGGCUUCUCUCUCCAAUAUUAUCACUGCCAGCCUGGACUAUCAAAAGAGGAUAGAAAUCAGAGGGGCAAACCAAGUUGGGAAGUUUUCUGGCAAUGUCCCUGACCCUGGCCCCAGGGAGGCAGCAGACUUCCCUACGGGUAGGGUCAGGUUGACAAAUAGGGCUCUCUGCGCCUCUGAGAAGGGAGUCGCCUACAAUGAUUACCCUUCUAUCUUUUUUGGUGGAGGCAGUCUUGAGGUGUGGAGUCAAAUUCCUCACCCUAGGCAUCCUCCUGGGUACACUUUCUACCUUAGCCUCACCCACCAGUCUCUCAAGCUCCAGGGCCUCAAAUCUGUUAUGUAAGGGCACCUGGGAAGGUGGGGUUGGUAGGGUUGGUAUGGGGGGGGGGGGGGGGGGGGGGGGGGGGGGGGGGAGUUGGGGGAGGGCGCUGCUUGCAAAUUCGAGAACGCACCUGUCUCCAUUCCUCCUCAGCUCCCAGGUCCACUUCCUCUGCCUGACAGCAACAGGGCAGGGGGUCCGCCCCCAUUUGGGGUGUCUCACCCCGGUACCUCUCCUUCAGGCCUGUCAGGGAGUUGCUCCAUCAGUCUGUCUCCCGCUCAUACUCCCUGAUGGCCCUCAACACCUCAACAUCCCCCUUGAUCUCUGCUACCAGGCUGACCAGGUCAUCCACCUGUUCACACCUCACACAAACAGUGUCUCCACUGCCCUCAGAGGGCAGCAACAGGCUCAGGCACUCCCUGAAUCCCGAGACCUGAACUGCCACAUUUUUGAGUGGGCAGUCAGUCUCGGUGGAUGCAGACUUCCUAGGGAGAGCUCUCUGCCUGGUGUAGACCAUUGUGGCCUAGCUAGGGGAAGACAGCCAUUAGAGGAUCUGUUCUUAGGGGCGGGGGACCCUCCCUGCUCAAACUGCUGCAUCCUGCCCUGUUUGCCCAUUCUGGUCAUCAUGCUCCCUAGGGGCUGC